This 425-nucleotide ribosomal RNA is filed under the name uncultured bacterium. RNAcentral describes it as "partial 16S ribosomal RNA". It matches the Rfam family "Bacterial small subunit ribosomal RNA", at positions 354 to 796 of the family's 1533-position model. The record is from RNAcentral.
GUGGGGAAUCUUGCGCAAUGGGCGAAAGCCUGACGCAGCCAUGCCGCGUGAAUGAUGAAGGUCUUAGGAUUGUAAAAUUCUUUCACCGGGGACGAUAAUGACGGUACCCGGAGAAGAAGCCCCGGCUAACUUCGUGCCAGCAGCCGCGGUAAUACGAAGGGGGCUAGCGUUGCUCGGAAUUACUGGGCGUAAAGGGCGCGUAGGCGGACAGUUUAGUCAGAGGUGAAAGCCCAGGGCUCAACCUUGGAAUUGCCUUUGGUACUGGCUGUCUUGAGUACGGGAGAGGUGAGUGGAACUCCGAGUGUAGAGGUGAAAUUCGUAGAUAUUCGGAGGAACACCAGUGGCGAAGGCGGCUCACUGGCUCGAUACUGACGCUGAGGUGCGAAAGCGUGGGGAGCAAACAGGAUUAGAAACCCCAGUAGUCC